RNAcentral lists this ribosomal RNA (3010 nucleotides) under Salmonella enterica subsp. enterica serovar Brancaster. Its description in RNAcentral is "23S ribosomal RNA". It matches the Rfam family "Bacterial large subunit ribosomal RNA". Lineage: Bacteria; Pseudomonadati; Pseudomonadota; Gammaproteobacteria; Enterobacterales; Enterobacteriaceae. The record is from RNAcentral.
GGGUUGUGAGGUUAAGCGACUAAGCGUACACGGUGGAUGCCCUGGCAGUCAGAGGCGAUGAAGGGCGUGCUAAUCUGCGAUAAGCGCCGGUAAGGUGAUAUGAACCGUUAUAACCGGCGAUACCCGAAUGGGGAAACCCAGUGUGACUCGUCACACUAUCAUUAACUGAAUCCAUAGGUUAAUGAGGCGAACCGGGGGAACUGAAACAUCUAAGUACCCCGAGGAAAAGAAAUCAACCGAGAUUCCCCCAGUAGCGGCGAGCGAACGGGGAGGAGCCCAGAGCCUGAAUCAGCAUGUGUGUUAGUGGAAGCGUCUGGAAAGGCGCGCGAUACAGGGUGACAGCCCCGUACACAAAAGCGCAUGUGCUGUGAGCUCGAUGAGUAGGGCGGGACACGUGGUAUCCUGUCUGAAUAUGGGGGGACCAUCCUCCAAGGCUAAAUACUCCUGACUGACCGAUAGUGAACCAGUACCGUGAGGGAAAGGCGAAAAGAACCCCGGCGAGGGGAGUGAAAAAGAACCUGAAACCGUGUACGUACAAGCAGUGGGAGCACAGGUUUACCUGUGUGACUGCGUACCUUUUGUAUAAUGGGUCAGCGACUUAUAUUCUGUAGCAAGGUUAACCGAAUAGGGGAGCCGGAGGGAAACCGAGUCUUAACCGGGCGUUAAGUUGCAGGGUAUAGACCCGAAACCCGGUGAUCUAGCCAUGGGCAGGUUGAAGGUUGGGUAACACUAACUGGAGGACCGAACCGACUAAUGUUGAAAAAUUAGCGGAUGACCUGUGGCUGGGGGUGAAAGGCCAAUCAAACCGGGAGAUAGCUGGUUCUCCCCGAAAGCUAUUUAGGUAGCGCCUCGUGAAUUCAUCUCCGGGGGUAGAGCACUGUUUCGGCUAGGGGGCCAUCCCGGCUUACCAACCCGAUGCAAACUGCGAAUACCGGAGAAUGUUAUCACGGGAGACACACGGCGGGUGCUAACGUCCGUCGUGAAGAGGGAAACAACCCAGACCGCCAGCUAAGGUCCCAAAGUCAUGGUUAAGUGGGAAACGAUGUGGGAAGGCCCAGACAGCCAGGAUGUUGGCUUAGAAGCAGCCAUCAUUUAAAGAAAGCGUAAUAGCUCACUGGUCGAGUCGGCCUGCGCGGAAGAUGUAACGGGGCUAAACCAUGCACCGAAGCUGCGGCAGCGAACGUAUCACUUAAAGCGAUUCAGCGGGUUACGAUUGACGGAGCGAAGCGACGUCAAAGCGUAUACAAAGUCGAGUCGGUUUAAGGAUACGUUCGUUGGGUAGGGGAGCGUUCUGUAAGCCUGCGAAGGUGGCCUGUGAGGGUUGCUGGAGGUAUCAGAAGUGCGAAUGCUGACAUAAGUAACGAUAAAGCGGGUGAAAAGCCCGCUCGCCGGAAGACCAAGGGUUCCUGUCCAACGUUAAUCGGGGCAGGGUGAGUCGACCCCUAAGGCGAGGCCGAAAGGCGUAGUCGAUGGGAAACGGGUUAAUAUUCCCGUACUUGGUGUUACUGCGAAGGGGGGACGGAGAAGGCUAUGUUGGCCGGGCGACGGUUGUCCCGGUUUAAGCGUGUAGGUGUGUGUUCCAGGUAAAUCCGGUUCACUUUAACACUGAGGCGUGACGACGAGGCACUACGGUGCUGAAGCAACAAAUGCCCUGCUUCCAGGAAAAGCCUCUAAGCAUCAGGUAACAUCAAAUCGUACCCCAAACCGACACAGGUGGUCAGGUAGAGAAUACCAAGGCGCUUGAGAGAACUCGGGUGAAGGAACUAGGCAAAAUGGUGCCGUAACUUCGGGAGAAGGCACGCUGACAUGUAGGUGAAGUGAUUUACUCACGGAGCUGAAGUCAGUCGAAGAUACCAGCUGGCUGCAACUGUUUAUUAAAAACACAGCACUGUGCAAACACGAAAGUGGACGUAUACGGUGUGACGCCUGCCCGGUGCCGGAAGGUUAAUUGAUGGGGUCAGCGCAAGCGAAGCUCCUGAUCGAAGCCCCGGUAAACGGCGGCCGUAACUAUAACGGUCCUAAGGUAGCGAAAUUCCUUGUCGGGUAAGUUCCGACCUGCACGAAUGGCGUAAUGAUGGCCAGGCUGUCUCCACCCGAGACUCAGUGAAAUUGAACUCGCUGUGAAGAUGCAGUGUACCCGCGGCAAGACGGAAAGACCCCGUGAACCUUUACUAUAGCUUGACACUGAACAUUGAGCCUUGAUGUGUAGGAUAGGUGGGAGGCUUUGAAGUGUGGACGCCAGUCUGCAUGGAGCCGACCUUGAAAUACCACCCUUUAAUGUUUGAUGUUCUAACGUGGACCCGUAAUCCGGGUUGCGGACAGUGUCUGGUGGGUAGUUUGACUGGGGCGGUCUCCUCCUAAAGAGUAACGGAGGAGCACGAAGGUUGGCUAAUCCUGGUCGGACAUCAGGAGGUUAGUGCAAUGGCAUAAGCCAGCUUGACUGCGAGCGUGACGGCGCGAGCAGGUGCGAAAGCAGGUCAUAGUGAUCCGGUGGUUCUGAAUGGAAGGGCCAUCGCUCAACGGAUAAAAGGUACUCCGGGGAUAACAGGCUGAUACCGCCCAAGAGUUCAUAUCGACGGCGGUGUUUGGCACCUCGAUGUCGGCUCAUCACAUCCUGGGGCUGAAGUAGGUCCCAAGGGUAUGGCUGUUCGCCAUUUAAAGUGGUACGCGAGCUGGGUUUAGAACGUCGUGAGACAGUUCGGUCCCUAUCUGCCGUGGGCGCUGGAGAACUGAGGGGGGCUGCUCCUAGUACGAGAGGACCGGAGUGGACGCAUCACUGGUGUUCGGGUUGUCAUGCCAAUGGCACUGCCCGGUAGCUAAAUGCGGAAGAGAUAAGUGCUGAAAGCAUCUAAGCACGAAACUUGCCCCGAGAUGAGUUCUCCCUGAGACUUAGAGUCUCCUGAAGGAACGUUGAAGACGACGACGUUGAUAGGCCGGGUGUGUAAGCGCAGCGAUGCGUUGAGCUAACCGGUACUAAUGAACCGUGAGGCUUAACCUUACAACGCCGAAG